RNAcentral lists this unclassified non-coding RNA (363 nucleotides) under plant metagenome. RNAcentral describes it as "partial contains 5.8S ribosomal RNA, internal transcribed spacer 2, and large subunit ribosomal RNA". The stretch from base 1 to 103 matches the Rfam family "5.8S ribosomal RNA", at positions 50 to 154 of the family's 154-position model. The record is from RNAcentral.
GAACUGCGAUAAGUAGUGUGAAUUGCAGAAUUCAGUGAAUCAUCAAACCCUUGAACGUACAUGGCGCCCAGUGGCAACGCUGGGCACGCCUGUUUGAGCCUCGGUUUUCAACCUCACAACCACCCAGGUGGUAGUGGAAAUGGGGAUUGCUGUUGCGGCAUUCCCUCAAAUCGAGCUGCUGGGCUCGGGAGGUCAAGCUCCAAACCGAACCAAAUCACCAGUUUCUGACGGCCUCACGGUCUCUUUUUCUGGCUUGGCUCGUUCUCUUGGCGCCCCUCUCGGUCAACCCUGCACGAAGUGCGCUCGACGCACCCUUCAAACUUUCGAGCUCAAAUCAGGCGAGACUACCCGCUGAAUUUAAGC